RNAcentral lists this transfer RNA (63 nucleotides) under Enterococcus faecium. RNAcentral describes it as "tRNA-Ile". It matches the Rfam family "tRNA", at positions 9 to 63 of the family's 71-position model. From Rfam's summary of the family: Transfer RNA (tRNA) molecules are approximately 80 nucleotides in length. Their secondary structure includes four short double-helical elements and three loops (D, anti-codon, and T loops). Lineage: Bacteria; Bacillati; Bacillota; Bacilli; Lactobacillales; Enterococcaceae. The record is from RNAcentral.
AGCUCAGUUGGUCAGAGCAGACGGCUCAUAACCGUCCGGUCGUAGGUUCGAGUCCUACAGGGU